Molecule: transfer RNA, 77 nt
Filed under: Photobacterium leiognathi subsp. mandapamensis
Lineage: Bacteria; Pseudomonadati; Pseudomonadota; Gammaproteobacteria; Vibrionales; Vibrionaceae
Description: tRNA-Arg
Rfam family: tRNA
About the family: Transfer RNA (tRNA) molecules are approximately 80 nucleotides in length.
Source: RNAcentral
GCGGGCGUAGCUCAGCUGGAUAGAGUACCUGGCUACGAACCAGGCGGUCGGAGGUUCGAAUCCUCCCGCGCGCACCA